RNAcentral lists this ribosomal RNA (395 nucleotides) under uncultured bacterium. Its description in RNAcentral is "partial 16S ribosomal RNA". It matches the Rfam family "Bacterial small subunit ribosomal RNA", at positions 523 to 918 of the family's 1533-position model. The record is from RNAcentral.
AUACGUAGGGUGCAAGCGUUAAUCGGAAUUACUGGGCGUAAAGCGUGCGCAGGCGGUUUUGUAAGACAGUGGUGAAAUCCCCGGGCUCAACCUGGGAACUGCCAUUGUGACUGCAAGGCUGGAGUGCGGCAGAGGGGGAUGGAAUUCCGCGUGUAGCAGUGAAAUGCGUAGAUAUGCGGAGGAACACCGAUGGCGAAGGCAAUCCCCUGGGCCUGCACUGAUGCUCAUGCACGAAAGCGUGGGGAGCAAACAGGAUUAGAUACCCUGGUAGUCCACGCCCUAAACGAUGUCAACUGGUUGUUGGGGAUUUAUUUUCUCAGUAACGAAGCUAACGCGUGAAGUUGACCGCCUGGGGAGUACGGCCGCAAGGUUAAAACUCAAAGGAAUUGACGGGG